Molecule: long non-coding RNA, 267 nt
Organism: Pseudophryne corroboree (corroboree frog)
Lineage: Eukaryota; Metazoa; Chordata; Amphibia; Anura; Myobatrachidae
Exons: 3
Source: RefSeq, a predicted model, not a curated record
ACUGAGUGUCUGACACAUGUACAGAGCCCACAAGCUGCCAUGAGCUAUUUCUACAUGUAACUAGGUGACUACGCCUUGCAGCUUCCCCUACGUUAUAGGCUUUUUAACUUCAUUAUGUGAUCAGGCAUGUUGCCAACUUUGAAGGCCAUUCCACACAUCUGAGUGAUCUGGCUUGCCGUCCAGGUGAUUUAAAGUGCCAAUCUUGAUAAAGGUCCGCAUAAGGACCGAAACGUCGAUGAAAUACGGCAUCAACAGUGAACCCGAAUA